Molecule: microRNA precursor, 57 nt
Filed under: Dasypus novemcinctus (nine-banded armadillo)
Lineage: Eukaryota; Metazoa; Chordata; Mammalia; Cingulata; Dasypodidae
Description: microRNA dno-mir-95 precursor
Gene: dno-mir-95
Source: miRBase by way of RNAcentral
CUCAAUAAAUGCUUGUCGAAUCGAGAUGCGCUAGAUUCAACGGGUAUUUACUGAGCG